GGAAUAAAAGUCGUAACAAGGUUUCCGUAGGUGAACCUGCGGAAGGAUUGUUAUUGUAUAACCGAGGUGCGAGGGCUGUCGCUGACCCGAAAGGUCGUGCACGCCCGAGUGCCCUCACACACAUCCAUCUCACCCCUAUGUGCACCACCGCGUGGGUCCCCCUUUGGCUUGUUCGGAGGGGGGCUUACGUUUUCACACAAACUUUGUAUGCAGUGUAGAAUGUAUUUUUUGUUUUUGCGAUCACGCAAUCAAUACAACUUUCAACAACGGAUCUCUUGGCUCUC
Molecule: unclassified non-coding RNA, 284 nt
Filed under: plant metagenome
Description: partial contains small subunit ribosomal RNA, internal transcribed spacer 1, and 5.8S ribosomal RNA
Rfam family: Eukaryotic small subunit ribosomal RNA (bases 1-53)
Source: RNAcentral